This 202-nucleotide long non-coding RNA is filed under the name Salvia miltiorrhiza (redroot sage). RNAcentral's name for it is "long non-coding RNA (SMIL_LNC008581)". The record is from RNAcentral. Lineage: Eukaryota; Viridiplantae; Streptophyta; Magnoliopsida; Lamiales; Lamiaceae.
AAGUUUAUAUUGAAAUGUACGUUGCUUCUUGUGGCCCUUUCAACACUGAUUGUUUUACAUGAUAAUGUCUUAAUUAUUACUUGAAUUUUUUGUAUUCUUUACUUGAUAUUAUAGGACUUGCUAACUGGUGGUACGGACCCCAUUGUGAAAUCGAGGAUUGCAAAAAGUUGCAGGGUAAAAGGACGCAGAUGCUCAUCAACCC